UACGUAGGUGGCAAGCGUUAUCCGGAUUUAUUGGGCGUAAAGGGAACGCAGGCGGUCUUUUAAGUCUGGUGUAAAAGGCAGUGGCUCAACCAUUGUAUGCAUUGGAAACUGGUAGACUUGAGUGCAGGAGAGGAGAGUGGAAUUCCAUGUGUAGCGGUGAAAUGCAUAGAUAUAUGGAGGAACACCGGUGGCGAAAGCGGCUCUCUGGCCUGUAACUGACACUGAGGCUCGAAAGCGUGGGGAGCAAACAGG
Molecule: ribosomal RNA, 252 nt
Filed under: uncultured bacterium
Lineage: Bacteria
Description: partial 16S ribosomal RNA
Rfam family: Bacterial small subunit ribosomal RNA
Source: RNAcentral